RNAcentral lists this ribosomal RNA (420 nucleotides) under uncultured bacterium. RNAcentral describes it as "partial 16S ribosomal RNA". It matches the Rfam family "Bacterial small subunit ribosomal RNA", at positions 360 to 772 of the family's 1533-position model. The record is from RNAcentral.
AAUACUGGACAAUGGGCGAAAUCCUGAUCCAGCCAUGCCGCGUGUGUGAAGAAGGUCUUCGGAUUGUAAAGCACUUUAAUUUGGGAGGAAGGGCUUUAGGCUAAUACCCUGAAGUCUUGACGUUACCAACAGUAUAAGCACCGUCUAACUCUCUGCCUGCAGCCGCGGUAAUACAUAUGGUGCAAGCGUUAAUUGGCAUUACUGGGCGUAAAGCGCGCGUAGGUGGUUCAGUAAGAUGGGUGUGAAAUCCCCGGGCUUAACCUGGGAAAUGCUUUCAUAACUGCUGAGCUAGAGUAGGGUAGAGGGUAGUGGAAUUUCCUGUGUAGCGGUGAAAUGCGUAGAUAUAGGAAGGAACACCAGUGGCGAAGGCGACUACCUGGACUGAUACUGACACUGAGGUGCGAAAGCGUGGGGAGCAAA